GUCAGGUCUCUCUGACACAUUCUUGAUCUGAAGAGGAAUACCUGCUGUUAACAGGGGCCAUGGCAUCCAGCAUCAGAAUACAGCGGGGCUGUGUUAAAACAAGGAGUAUUGUGGCAGUGUGGAGCAGGCACCAGCCUGGGAAUGAGCAUCCAAACUGAGUGCCAGCGGUACAAGAGAUUCAGCCUAGUGAAAAGCAUGAUUGACCUCUCUGGGUCCACCACUGCCAUCCACUGUAUGUUUCUUCAUUGACUAAACUUGCCACGGUUCUCCCCUCUAAGAAAUGUUUGCCACAUCGGGACAACAAGAAUAUAUUCCUGACAUAUGACAUCUCUCCAAAACUGACUUUGCUAUAUUCCAGGAAUAAAAUAAAAGAAGAAAAAGAAAGAAUGUCAUCUGGAGAAGACUUCUAGAAUCUUCCCACUUAAGAGGGUUAGAGUAGAAAACUUUCCUGGGAGUAAUAUUGAAUGAGUGCUGGAACUCACUAAAUAACAAGCAUAAUCACACUUGGGGAGAGAUAGAAGCCCUGCAAGGGAACAGAAGAACUACUAAGAAUUUUCAAAGUCAUUACAUUAGCAAAUGUUAGCGGAAUACUUUUGGAAGGAAAUAUUUCUGUGAUGGCAAAAUCAUGACUGCAACUAAAGCAAGAUGAUUUGACUAAAUAGAGUUCCAUUCUCUGUUCUUGGCAGGAUGUGUGCUGAUGGCUAUAAUUUGUAAUUCUGGAGCCAAAUCAAGGCAACUUAUCAUGAUACAUCUGCUGAGUUUUGAAUAUGCAUGGAGUGAGCAUGUGUGCUUUCCUGAAAGCUUUUCCUAGAAGCAAAAUGCACUGCAAAGAUUUAUAUAUUCAUUGUGUCAUCUUUUGACAUAGUUGAUGAAAAUGAAGGCAUAACCCCAUGCAGG
Molecule: long non-coding RNA, 897 nt
Organism: Cuculus canorus (common cuckoo)
Lineage: Eukaryota; Metazoa; Chordata; Aves; Cuculiformes; Cuculidae
Exons: 3
Source: RefSeq, a predicted model, not a curated record